GUGGCGAACGGGUGAGUAACACGUGAGCAAUCUGCCCUUGACUCUGGGAUAACUGCGAGAAACUGUAGCUAAUACCGGAUAUUACCUUGGAAGGCAUCUUCUGGGGUGGAAAGAAUUUUGGUCAAGGAUGAGCUCGCGGCCUAUCAGCUAGUUGGUGAGGUAAUGGCUCACCAAGGCGACGACGGGUAGCCGGCCUGAGAGGGUGACCGGCCACACUGGGACUGAGACACGGCCCAGACUCCUACGGGAGGCAGCAGUGGGGAAUAUUGCACAAUGGGCGCAAGCCUGAUGCAGCAACGCCGCGUGAGGGACGACGGCCUUCGGGUUGUAAACCUCUUUUAGUAGGGAAGAAGCGACUGGGUUUUCCUGGGAGUGACGGUACCUGCAGACAAAGCACCGGCUAACUACGUGCCAGCAGCCGCGGUAAUACGUAGGGUGCAAGCGUUGUCCGGAAUUAUUGGGCGUAAAGAGCUCGUAGGCGGUUUGUCGCGUCUGCUGUGAAAACCCGAGGCUCAACCUCGGGCCUGCAGUGGGUACGGGCAGACUAGAGUGCGGUAGGGGAGAUUGGAAUUCCUGGUGUAGCGGUGGAAUGCGCAGAUAUCAGGAGGAACACCAAUGGCGAAGGCAGAUCUCUGGGCCGUAACUGACGCUGAA
RNAcentral lists this ribosomal RNA (654 nucleotides) under uncultured Cryobacterium sp. RNAcentral's name for it is "bacterial SSU rRNA". It matches the Rfam family "Bacterial small subunit ribosomal RNA", at positions 95 to 750 of the family's 1533-position model. The record is from RNAcentral. Lineage: Bacteria; Bacillati; Actinomycetota; Actinomycetes; Micrococcales; Microbacteriaceae.